UACGUAGGGUGCAAGCGUUAAUCGGAAUUACUGGGCGUAAAGCGUACGCAGGCGGCUUUGCAAGACAGGUGUGAAAUCCCCGGGCCUAACCUGGGAACUGCAUUUGUGACUGCAUGGAUAGAGUUUGUCAGAGGGGGGUGGAAUUCCACGUGUAGCAGUGAAAUGCGUAGAUAUGUGGAGGAACAUCGAUGGCGAAGGCAGCCCCCUGGGAUGUGACUGACGCUCAUGUACGAAAGCGUGGGGAGCAAACAGG
RNAcentral lists this ribosomal RNA (253 nucleotides) under uncultured bacterium. RNAcentral's name for it is "partial 16S ribosomal RNA". It matches the Rfam family "Bacterial small subunit ribosomal RNA", at positions 524 to 776 of the family's 1533-position model. The record is from RNAcentral.